ACACCUCAACUCUCAUGGCUUGCCAUGAUGAGCUUGGACUUUGGAGGUCUUGUUGGCCUAUGAGCCAGCUCCUCUCAAAUGAAUUAGCUUGCCAGUGUUUGGUGGCGUCACAGGUGUGAUAACUAUCUACGCUUGUGGUUUCCCACCAGGUAACCUUCAGCGAUGGAGGUUCAUUGGAGCUUAUAAACGUCUCUCCUCAGCGAGGACACAUUUUGACC
Molecule: unclassified non-coding RNA, 218 nt
Filed under: uncultured Tomentella
Lineage: Eukaryota; Fungi; Basidiomycota; Agaricomycetes; Thelephorales; Thelephoraceae
Description: sequence contains ITS2
Source: RNAcentral